UUCUUAUCUUCCCCAUUCUUCCCUUCCUACCUCCUCCUCUGUUGCCACACGCUAGAUCCCCCAUCCACAGCCGGCACUCUCUGGUGGGCGCCCCUCCCAUUCGUCACCAUUGUCGGCGGACACAUAGGCCCAUGCUCUUCCCUGCCCCGCCCCUUCUUCAUAUCCGAUCCCCGAAGUGCUCGAGGAGGCGCUCGAGCUCGGCAUGCUCGCCGGCGACACCGGGGCCCUCCCUCCUCCUGAUGCACUCUCCGUCGCCGCCAUGAGCGUCUCCACCUUCUCCCGCGCGCCGUGAAUCCUCCCUCCCCCCUGCUCGAGACGCCAUCAAGGUCCGGUUCCAACUCUUCUUCUCCCCUCGAUCCGGAUGCUCUGCUCUCCGACACCAUCUUUUUGCUUGUUCGAUUCAGUCUGGAGCAGGAGCAGCUGCUGCUCGCGACCUCUAGUUCCUUCUUUCCAUGGAUGUGCUGCUGCUCGGGGCCCUCCCUAUGCUUCUCCUCGCUCGUACGGGUCCAGGGUUAGCUGCUCAGGGGACAUGGUGUGUUCCGUGUGGCGCUGCCUUCGCGGCAGCCGCCGUUGUUGUGUCUCGUGUGUCGCGGCAGCCAAUGGGUCGGGAAGGUCUGAGACUGGAGGUCCCUGCUCGCCAACUCACAGACGGUUGUUCUCCGACCAGUUAAAAAUGAAUUUUUUGAAGGAGAAGGAGGUGCGAAAGGGGAUGGGAGCAACAAGUCUAAAUCGAAGAGAACUGAUAGCAUGUCCUGCCAUGAGGAAUUUGAAGCGGUCAGAAGACAUAAGAGCCGGGUCCUAAACUAUGUUAAGGCCAUGCUGAUGUGUAAGAGUUUGCGGGUGACAUCCUCCAUGGCAAUCAUAUUCCCUCCAACAUCCUUCAGGCCAUGGCGACCAGGUCAAAGAAGUCGAACCUGAAGAAGUGCAGGGAAGAAUUAUGGUUGCGUGUGGCUGGCUGGUUCAGGGGAAUUUCAGGGCGGGCGCGGCGGCACGGGUGCCGGAGCAGGCUCCUAGGCACUGGCGAUCUGUCGGACGGAUAUUAGAAACGAAGGUGAAGGAGGAGCGGCCGCCCACUCGACGGUGCGGUGUAGGGCGGCGAGGGAGGCCGGCAGGGAGGCCUCAAUGCGGUGCAGGACGGCGAGGGAACCGUCCAGCGAGGCGACGAUGCGAUGCAGGGAUCCAGGCCGCCGUGCAGGGAGGCGACAUGACUGCUGAGCUUCGUCUGGGGCGGUGGCGAGGAAAGGCAGGGAGUGGGGCCAGGGACACGAUUAGGUCCGAUUUCCUUUUUUUGCGAGUUGGUUAGAUGGUUAGAUUAGCGUGAUUUGAGGGGCUGCGGAUGCGGGACGGAGAGUUUCAUAUUUUCCUCUUGUGGAGUAUGGUCAGUCUAUUGAAACUGCUAAGCGCACACCAGAUCUUGAAUAAAUUAAUGAUGACUGUUGGAUUGGGUCGUGUGGGCUUCA
Molecule: RNA transcript, 1460 nt
Organism: Triticum dicoccoides
Lineage: Eukaryota; Viridiplantae; Streptophyta; Magnoliopsida; Poales; Poaceae
Exons: 6
Source: RefSeq, a predicted model, not a curated record